Molecule: transfer RNA, 72 nt
Filed under: Pestalotiopsis fici W106-1
Lineage: Eukaryota; Fungi; Ascomycota; Sordariomycetes; Amphisphaeriales; Sporocadaceae
Description: tRNA-Thr (TGT) (tRNA-Thr-TGT-1-1, tRNA-Thr-TGT-1-2)
Rfam family: tRNA
About the family: Transfer RNA (tRNA) molecules are approximately 80 nucleotides in length. Their secondary structure includes four short double-helical elements and three loops (D, anti-codon, and T loops).
Source: RNAcentral
GCCCGCUUGGCAUAGUGGUAUUGCGUCGCACUUGUAAUGCGAAAGUCGGCGGUUCAAUUCCGCCAGUGGGCA